Mauremys reevesii (Reeves's turtle) is the source of this 78-nucleotide non-coding RNA. The record is from the annotation of a RefSeq genome assembly. NCBI's taxonomy places the organism in Eukaryota, Metazoa, Chordata, Testudines, Geoemydidae.
GGCCGGCUAGCUCAGCUGGUUAGAGCGUGGUGCUAAUAACGCCAAGGUCAUGGGUUCAAGCCCCAUGCUGGUACUCCG